Triticum aestivum (bread wheat) is the source of this 4324-nucleotide long non-coding RNA. RefSeq lists it as uncharacterized. The transcript is spliced from 2 exons. The record is from RefSeq and is a predicted model, not a curated record. Lineage: Eukaryota; Viridiplantae; Streptophyta; Magnoliopsida; Poales; Poaceae.
GCAGCCAGCGCGGGCAGCGGUAGGGAAAGAAAAAGGGGCAGGCAGCGGCAGGAAAAGAAAAGGGCGUCUUCCCCACGAACCCUACCCGCCUCCUCGCCUCCUCCUUCGUCCACGCCGCCUCCUCGCCUCCUUCUCCAUUUGCACGUCGCCUCUCCCACCCCGCGCGCAUCUCGUCCGCCCCGGGAUCCGAGGUGCACGGGUGUGGAGGCGAGCUUCCCGGCGACGGGUAUGUGAGGUCUCUUCCUCUUGCCGUUGCUUGCCAAGAGGCGCAUCUCCGCGAGGUGGACGAAAGAUCGACGACGGUGGCAAGCAGCAGCAGGGGCAUGGCUGAGUCCCUCCUCUCCUUCCUUCUCAGUCUCUAGCCCCGCCUGCUCCCUUGACAGCCGCCGGUGCCAAAUACAGCCGUGGCCUCCUCUCCCGUGGGGAGGCUGGAUCCGGCUGUGGCCUCCUCUUCCGCGCGCUCCAACAGCCCGCUUGUGUCCUAUUCAGAGGGGCGCACUUAUCUGCAGCUACCACUGGCCGCGCGGUGCUGGCGUGAACUGGCGCUGCUCAGGCAGGCGGCGGCCACCACACCUGCUCCCAGGACUGCCUGCUCCACCUCACGUCCUCCUCCUAGGUAAAAUCAUGCCAAAAGGUUAGGACAUCAAAUCCCCCUGAACCCUAUCUUGAUCCCCUUUUCUAUGCCAGAUUUACCUCACGCUUGGCCUUUUUAGUUGGACGUGUGCUUGCACAUGUGUGUUAUUUGCUAGAUCUGAAGUGUCCUUUACCAAAUUAGAUAGUUGUUUCUUUGUGAUUUAGUUCACACGCAUGAGGCUGCAUCCCAUAGUUAUUCUGAAAUCGAGUGUUCUCCUCCCCCCCCCAUUCCUGAUUCACAAAUACCUCUAUGUAGUUUCUCUUCUUUUAGCUCGAGAGGAGAGCUUGGAAUUUGUGUCACUGCAAUGCGUAGUACAUAUUGUGAUAAUUAUUUUGUCGGGUAGCAUACUACGUACAUAUUCUGCAGCCCAGAAGACUAUCAGCUACAGACAAAUUGGUUGGUAUAUUAGCACUGAAAUCUCGGAGAUGGAGAUCCCAUUGUUGUUUUGCUAAAAUUUAAGUCCUCAUUCCACAGAUACAUAGGCUGAACGACACUCUUAACAAGAAGGACCUUGAAUAUUGGAGAGCUUGCUAUCCUGUUAACACUUAGCAGUGUAGAUGUUGUUCAUCAUAAGGAUAAAGUGUUUGGGUUUGCUGCUACUUCCUUUUCUGGUUCUCUACUUUCAACCAAUACAUCAGUUGGUCCUCAUAAUCUUACUCCCUUUCAAUAUCUCACUGAAGCCUUAAUAAUCAAUCUGUGUCCCUUUCUCCUGAACUGUCAUAUCUGCAAGUCUUCUUUACUGUCAGAUUGUUCCUUUCAUAAUUAUUGUGUGUUUUAGAUUUUUAAUUAGACUAAAUCAAUGCCUUUUAUAGGUUGUUUACUAGACCGGCCGGAAUUGAACUGCAGAACACGUCAACACAUCACAUAAGUGUACUUGUGAUCUUUGCGUUGUGUAGACAGUUGAUCAAGUACGGUUUCUCAUGAAUGUCAACUUGUUGAAGAUUUUUGUUUUCUAUUUUGCCAAUAUUUUAUUCCAGCUUCGUCAGUAGUUGUAACAUAAGGUUACUUCCUGAAACAACUUAUGGCUUGCCCAAACCUGCACACAUUGUGACGUCUAACUCUUUACAAACUGAAAUCGUGAGAUAAAAAUAUCUUUAAAAAUUUCCAUUGCCGACCUUAUGUUCUUACUCGAAUGUGUGUGUUGUCGUUUUUCACAAUUAUGGUGUUGUAAUUGGUUUCCUCAUUUGCUACACCUGGAAGUAUCCCUCCGGUCACAACGGUGAGACAUGUCCCAUAUAUUUCCCUUUGUUACUUCUAAUUCUUUGUUUCAGAUGCCACGCUGCUCGUUCAUGGAUAUGCUCUGUUUGGACUAGGGAGUGCGCAGUUGUGCCGUCUUUAUUUGUGAAAAAUGUCUUCCGUCAAGGUUCUUUUGUUCUUCAUCUCAUUGCUUCCCAGCUUUCCUCUGCCAAUUAUUUGUUCCUUUUUUUUAUGUAUUUUCUGUUGCCCAUUCAAUUUCGUGACAUGUAGUGGUUUGUUUUGGAGCUUCUUCCAUAGUACCAUAUGUGCCACAUAAAGUAAUUUGAUGGGGUUUUCUCUUUUCCUGCUUGUAUUGUUCUUGUAAAUUAGAAUAAGGAAGGAGCUUUCUCAGAACUUUGGACUUUUGACCUGUACGUGUAGUUAAUUUCAGGUUAUCCACGGAUCAAAAAACUGAAGAAUGAUACUAAGAUUUUACUGGACAUGCCUAUAUUUUGUCUUAUCAAAGCUUGUGUUCUUUUUUCAUCACUACAUAAAGCUGCUUGGAUCUGCAUUAUUAGAACUUGCUCUGCUUUUCUCCUGUUGUCCAGAUAGAUAUAUGCUUAUUCAAGUUUGGACUUGCUAUCUAACAUUUUUCCACUGAAGGCUAUGAAUUGGUACAGUAAUUAAUUUCACUCCCAUGUGUAUCAUGGAACUCCUUGGUCAAUAUUUCUAAUUUUCUGUUCUUUCCAAUUUGUUAUUGCAAUUCACCACAUAGUUUAAUUUCUUAGACCUCGUGCAUUUUCACAAUUGAUGUCUUUCUAAAACUUAAUACAAAACUUGAAUAUUUUAGGUAAUCGGAGUGAAAUUGAUAUUUAGCAUCUAUUGAGAGCAUUGUACUAAAUCAUGUUCACAAAACUUAUUAUUUUUCUAACUUCUACUGGUGGCCGUGUUCUCAGAGCUCCUUAUUUGGAUCUUUGUGGAUGGGUGAGCCUAUUUGCUUGCUGUCUUGCUGGUGUUGGAGACUUGUGGUUACUAUGUUUACUGAAACGAAGAAAAAUAUACGAGUAUCAUGUGCCAAGCAUUUCCUACUUCACCUUGGCUAGCCGGUAGUUUCUACUAGCAUGAAAUCUACACAUAACAGAGAUCCUAAGCAUUGGAAUUGUUUACUGUCCAUAAAUCAUUUUCGUGGUACUCAUUUUUGUAUUGUUGCAUUCUAUGUAUGUUUUUCCACGAAGGUUGUAUCACCUAGAGCAUAGCUUACAAGUUAUUCACCUAUAGCAUAGCCUACAAGUUAUUCAUCUCAUGUCGUAGAUCAUCUGCUUGUAAGAGGUCAUGAGGUUUCAAAUUUUAUUGAGCCUUGAAUAUUUUAUAAAUGGCACCUGCAGAACGUCUAAACGAAUUUGCAAGUGUGUACAUUGGAGGUUGAUUUUGGAAUGGGUAUAUAUUUUGCCUUGCAUGUUUCCCUUUUGAUUAGUUACUUUCAUUGCCUCCUUAACAAUCGUUUCUGCUUUUCUUUACUUAAAACUGUUUCUCGCUCUAGGUGGAAGGAUCUGUGGUAGGUGUACAUAGUUUAGUCAUCUGGCCCAGUAAGCUCAAUCUACACCUUCCCCACAAAAAAAAAGCUCAAUCUACACCUUAACACUUUUUAUGAAUUUAGGAUUUCUUUUAUGUAAUCUGCACAAGGGAGCUCAGAUGGCUGAGCAAUGAUAGAUCCGGCUGGAAGGUGCCAAGCGUAUGAGACGGCGCACUUCGACAAGAUCAUGGUGCGGCUCAAGAAGCUCAGCUGGGCUCAGCCAGGAGCACUGCGACCCCGUGUUCGUCACGCAGAAGGUCUGCGUCAGGGUAUACAUGGGCAUCACCACCAGCCAGCUCGACGAGCUCGCCGCCGAGACCGCCGCCGCGCUCACCGCCUCCCAGCCUGACUAUGCCUCCGUACCUUCCCUCUUUCGAUAUGUCUCUCCCCUUCUGGUCCGUUCUGUUCCCCCCUCACGGCGCCCGUGUUCGUGCAACCUGGCCUGACGUAUGUGCGUGUGUGGUUCUUCUGCAGCUCGUGGCGAGGAUUGCUGUGUCCAACCUGCCGCCAAGUGGAAAUAGUCUGUGUGGCGCUCGUAAAUAGAGAGCAUUCUGGUACAAAGCUGAAAGAUUAAUGAGACUGACUAAAUUCUGAACAUGUUCCAUGUGAGAGAAAUAGCAUGUUGAUUUCAUCUUGAAAUAAUCAUAGCUAAGGGACGAGGUUCGUAACUGAGGGUCAUGUGCAGAGCUUGAGGAAGAAGUUGCUAGUUGUAAUUGUGAUACUCCUGAUGUGAAGGGCUCAGGGAUUUCAGUGAGGACAAUGCCUCUUUAGUUGUAAUUGUGAUACUUCUGAUGUGCAAGUAAACACUCCUGUGAUACUCCUUAUGCUAAAAUGUUGGUUGUUAGUACAGAGGUGGUGGCAUUAUUUGGUUCUCUGCUAUUGAUUUCAUGAUUUGUGGUUAAUAUAUGAUGUAAUACAAUCCACAUUGCAUUAUAUUUUCA